UUGGAGGGCAAGUCUGGUGCCAGCAGCCGCGGUAAUUCCAGCUCCAAUAGCGUAUAUUAAAGUUGUUGCAGUUAAAAAGCUCGUAGUUGAAUUUCGGGAUUGGCGCAUCGGUCGUGCCUCACGGGGUAUGAACUGGUGCAGUCAAUUUCUCACCUUCUGGAGAACCGCGAUGUCCUUAAUUGGAUGCCGCGGGGAACCAGGACCUUUACUUUGAAAAAAUUAGAGUGUUUAAAGCAGGCAUUUUUGCUUGAAUACAUUAGCAUGGAAUAAUAAGAUAGGACGGCAUGGUUCUAUUUUGUUGGUUUCUAGGACCACCGUAAUGAUUAAUAGGGAUAGUUGGGGGCAUUAGUAUUCAAUUGUCAGAGGUGAAAUUCUUGGAUUUAUUGAAGACUAACUACUGCGAAAGCAUUUGCCAAGGAUGUUUUCAUUAAUCAAGAACGAAAGUUAGGGGAUCGAAGACGAUCAGAUACCGUCGUAGUCUUAACCAUAAACUAUGCCGACUAGGAAUCAGACGAUGUUAAUUUUUUAAUGACUCGUUUGGCACCUUACGGGAAACCAAAGUGUUUGGGUUC
This 572-nucleotide ribosomal RNA is filed under the name uncultured Entrophospora. RNAcentral's name for it is "SSU rRNA". It matches the Rfam family "Eukaryotic small subunit ribosomal RNA", at positions 548 to 1114 of the family's 1831-position model. The record is from RNAcentral. Lineage: Eukaryota; Fungi; Glomeromycota; Glomeromycetes; Entrophosporales; Entrophosporaceae.